RNAcentral lists this ribosomal RNA (816 nucleotides) under Triticum aestivum (bread wheat). Its description in RNAcentral is "partial small subunit ribosomal RNA". The record is from RNAcentral. Lineage: Eukaryota; Viridiplantae; Streptophyta; Magnoliopsida; Poales; Poaceae.
AUGAUCAAGUAUUGCUUGGCAAGGAUGGACUAUGACCCUACAGACCCUCAAAUCAAGGUGUACUGGAUUUUGCCAGGGAAAGACUAUGGUGAUGGCCUGCUAUGUGUUGACAAUCCAGAUGUUAUAGAUGCUAUGGUGAGGUCCAGCAGGGAAGCCAAGACAUUGGAUUUGUUAGUUGAUGAGGAGAAUAAGAUUCAGACAUUAUAUCCUGAUAUCAUACUAAAAGGAUGCCCAAUUGCAGAUGGAAAUGAGGAUGUAGAGAAGGCAGAGGAAGGAGAGGAUGCAGAGGCAGAUCAUGAUGCAGAGAAUGCAGAGGAAGGAGAGGAUGCAGAGGCAGAUCUUGAUCAUGAUGCAGAUAAUGCAGAGGAAGGAGAGGAUGCAAAGGAAGGAGAGAAUGCAGAGAAUGAAACUGACUCAGACUUUUAUGAGAGUGACUAUGAUUGUAGAGAUGGAGAUGAUGAUUUGUUUGCUCAGAAUGUGGACAAAUCAUUGAAUGACAACAAUGAAGAAGAGGAAGAGAUAUUUGAGGAGGAAGAUCCACUGGAUGAUGAUGAGCUCAACCUGUCAAAAGAUGAUUUGGAGAAGUUGAAAUAUACAUUCAGAACAUUCAAUGCAGAAAUGGACAUGAGCAACCCAAUCUUCAGGGUAGAGCAAGUACUUGGAGAAAUGAAAGAGCUAACGGAAGCAGACACUGCAUACACAGUCAAAAACAGAGUGAAAUUCUUCAAACCUAGAAAUGAGGCAGAGAGAUUCAUUGGUGUGUGUCAACCAGAUUGCCCUUGGAGGUUGAAAGCAUCUAGACACAACAGAACAUGA